This 789-nucleotide ribosomal RNA is filed under the name uncultured bacterium. RNAcentral describes it as "bacterial SSU rRNA". It matches the Rfam family "Bacterial small subunit ribosomal RNA", at positions 8 to 796 of the family's 1533-position model. The record is from RNAcentral.
AGAGUUUGAUCAUGGCUCAGGAUGAACGCUAGCGGCAGGCUUAACACAUGCAAGUCGAGGGGUAUAGGAAGCUUGCUUCCUAGAGACCGGCGCACGGGUGCGUAACGCGUAUGCAAUCUACCUUGUACAGGGGGAUAGCCCAGAGAAAUUUGGAUUAAUACCCCAUGGUAUAAUUGAGUGGCAUCACUUAAUUAUUAAAGUUCCAACGGUACAAGAUGAGCAUGCGUCCUAUUAGCUAGUUGGUGUGGUAACGGCAUACCAAGGCUACGAUAGGUAGGGGUCCUGAGAGGGAGAUCCCCCACACUGGUACUGAGACACGGACCAGACUCCUACGGGAGGCAGCAGUGAGGAAUAUUGGACAAUGGGCGCAAGCCUGAUCCAGCCAUGCCGCGUGCAGGAAGAAGCAUCUAUGGUGUGUAAACUGCUUUUGUACGGGAAGAAACACCUCUACGUGUAGAGGCUUGACGGUACCGUAAGAAUAAGGAUCGGCUAACUCCGUGCCAGCAGCCGCGGUAAUACGGAGGAUCCAAGCGUUAUCCGGAAUCAUUGGGUUUAAAGGGUCCGUAGGCGGUCUAAUAAGUCAGUGGUGAAAGCCCAUCGCUUAACGAUGGAACGGCCAUUGAUACUGUUAGACUUGAAUUAUUGGGAAGUAACUAGAAUAUGUAGUGUAGCGGUGAAAUGCUUAGAUAUUACAUGGAAUACCAAUUGCGAAGGCAGGUUACUAUCAAUAUAUUGACGCUGAUGGACGAAAGCGUGGGGAGCGAACAGGAUUAGAUACCCUAGUAGUCC